This 440-nucleotide ribosomal RNA is filed under the name uncultured bacterium. RNAcentral's name for it is "partial 16S ribosomal RNA". It matches the Rfam family "Bacterial small subunit ribosomal RNA", at positions 338 to 795 of the family's 1533-position model. The record is from RNAcentral.
CCUACGGGAGGCAGCAGUGGGGAAUAUUGCACAAUGGGGGAAACCCUGAUGCAGCGACGCCGCGUGAGUGAAGAAGUAUCUCGGUACGUAAAGCUCUAUCAGCAGGGAAGAAAAUGACGGUACCUGACUAAGAAGCCCCGGCCAACUACGUGCCAGCAGCCGUGGUAAUACGCAGGGGGCCAGCGUUAUCCGGAUUUACUGGGUGUUAAGGGAGGGUAGACGGUAGCAGAAGUCUGGAGUGAAAUCCCGGGGCUUAACCCCGGAACUGCUUUGGAAACUGUGCGGCUGGAGUACAGGAGGGGUAAGCGGAAUUCGUGGUGUAGCGGUGAAAUGCGUAGAUAUUAGGAAGAACACCGAUGGCGAAGGCAGCUUACUGGACUGUAACUGACAUUGAGGCUCGAAAGCGUGGGGAGCAAACAGGAUUAGAUACCCCAGUAGUC